Non-coding RNA from Lolium perenne, 1460 nucleotides. NCBI's taxonomy places the organism in Eukaryota, Viridiplantae, Streptophyta, Magnoliopsida, Poales, Poaceae. The record is from RefSeq and is a predicted model, not a curated record.
GCACCACCCUCGCGCCAGCCAUACCGGCCUCUCAGCCCAUCAUAUCUCUGGGUCAAGAGGACUCGAUUAGUAAGAACCACGCCGAGGAGCUGCGCACGCCGGUGGCCGCCCUUCAUUCCAUCAUGCAUAUCCGCGCACGGCAGGUUGAAAGGCUUAACCGCUGGCUGAGUCCUUCUCCAGCCCACGGGUUAGAUUUCCUAAUUUCGCAUCUGUGUUGAUCUAUUUUGUACAGGGAUGCUUGUUUGAUACUCUCCAGUGCAGGACAUAUAACGCUGACUAGAUUAGUGGAGAGGUAGGCAGAUCACUCCCAAACACUUGUUAGUGCAAUUCCAGUUUAUAAACUGACGGGUGAAUACUUGUGGUACUGCAAUUAACUUCUUCGUGGUGACAACCACAUAAGCUUUUCAGCUGUUCGGCUUGUAGGUACGAUCUUGGUUGAUUGACUCUUAUCCUGGGAACUAAGUUGUCAGCUAUAUGGUCUGUUCUUUUACUGUUCUCCUUAAUGAUGUAAUCGAUGGGAUCUAAUUGAUUGUACUAACAGCUCCUUCAGUAUUCUUGGAGUACUGGUCCAUAGCUACAUGAAAUCAGAAGACAUAUGCUAGACUCAAGGUAUUUAUACGAGAAAGCUUCAAGGAAGAAUACAUGUCCAAUCAUUUGACAUACCUGGCCCAAUCAUCAUGUAAUUAUCACUAGGAUUAUAGUGCUCGGUUUUCCUUUUGGAUAUUUCCAUUUGCUAGGACACAUACACUAAGACAUCAAUGUAAUUUGCUUAUGGAUUUGAUUUUAGUGGUGAUAAAAGUAACCCAAUAGCUUAAAGAAGAGAAGACGACACUAAAGAGGCUGGAAGAGACGACCAAGCUAUCAGGAAUGGAUCGUUACAUCGAGGAAAUGGAGACGGAAUCGACAUUUCACUGACCUGAUACAAAGCAUGAGAAAAUGUUUGUUCAUUUCAUGGGUAGUCAGAUGUACAUAGCUCUUUCAGAAAAACAUAAAGAAGACUUUCUCCUGGUACAAGUGCAUACCAGUUUGAGAAACCAGUUUCUUAGCUAGGCCUAUAAUUGUUGGCUUCAAAUUAUUGAACUUUUGGGAUUGAUCAACAUUCGAGAAGUGCAAAAUAUGAAGAAUGAAAUUAUAUGAAACCUCAUUUUUCUUCAUGUUCUUAUAUUGAGGGCGAAAGUUUAUUAUGAUUAUUGUGGUUCUUUUGCUUAGAUAAGAUGGAAGUUAUCAUGUAUACAUUUUUCCUUGCCGCUGGCAUUUAUGCAUGCAUUGGCCUAUUUCCUUUUUAUGGCUUUGUUAGUACAUUAUUAGAUCCCUACUAAUUUUGCUAUAUUUUGUUGAUUUUUUUUAAAUGCUUGUAUGAACAAAGAAAUUUCUAUGAUUACAAUUGCGCGCACUACACAUUUACUAGCUAGAAUGAAAUAUUAUAUUAACAUUAACAUGAAAACCUCUUCAGGUCUUAC